This is a small nucleolar RNA of Papaver somniferum (opium poppy), 113 nucleotides long. RefSeq annotates it as small nucleolar RNA Z266. The record is from RefSeq and is a predicted model, not a curated record. The transcript has a single exon. NCBI's taxonomy places the organism in Eukaryota, Viridiplantae, Streptophyta, Magnoliopsida, Ranunculales, Papaveraceae.
GGUAAAAGAGUAUGAUGAUUCAAUUAGAUGUGUGAAUGGAGAGACAGAGAAAUAUCCCCUCCUUCAUGAACUUGCAAUAUUUAUUUGGCAAUAAUUAAUCUGACUCUUUUACU